This 253-nucleotide ribosomal RNA is filed under the name uncultured bacterium. RNAcentral describes it as "partial 16S ribosomal RNA". It matches the Rfam family "Bacterial small subunit ribosomal RNA", at positions 524 to 776 of the family's 1533-position model. The record is from RNAcentral.
UACAGAGGACUCAAGCGUUGUUCGGAUUCAUUGGGCGUAAAGGGUGCGUAGGUGGCGCUGUAAGUCGGGUGUGAAAUUUCGGAGCUUAACUCCGAAACUGCAUUCGAUACUGCGGUGCUUGAGGACUGGAGAGGAGACUGGAAUUCAUGGUGUAGCAGUGAAAUGCGUAGAGAUCAUGAGGAAGACCAGUGGCGAAGGCGGGUCUCUGGACAGUUCCUGACACUGAGGCACGAAGGCCAGGGGAGCAAACGGG